This 464-nucleotide ribosomal RNA is filed under the name Vreelandella stevensii. RNAcentral's name for it is "partial 16S ribosomal RNA". It matches the Rfam family "Bacterial small subunit ribosomal RNA", at positions 338 to 794 of the family's 1533-position model. Lineage: Bacteria; Pseudomonadati; Pseudomonadota; Gammaproteobacteria; Oceanospirillales; Halomonadaceae. The record is from RNAcentral.
CCUACGGGGCGCAGCAGUGGGGAAUAUUGGACAAUGGGCGAAAGCCUGAUCCAGCCAUGCCGCGUGUGUGAAGAAGGCCUUCGGGUUGUAAAGCACUUUCAGUGGGGAAGAAAGCCUUGGGGCUAAUACCCUCGAGGAAGGACAUCACCCACAGAAGAAGCACCGGCUAACUCCGUGCCAGCAGCCGCGGUAAUACGGAGGGUGCGAGCGUUAAUCGGAAUUACUGGGCGUAAAGCGCGCGUAGGCGGUCUGAUAAGCCGGUUGUGAAAGCCCCGGGCUCAACCUGGGAACGGCAUCCGGAACUGUCAGGCUAGAGUGCAGGAGAGGAAGGUAGAAUUCCCGGUGUAGCGGUGAAAUGCGUAGAGAUCGGGAGGAAUACCAGUGGCGAAGGCGACCUUCUGGACUGACACUGACGCUGAGGUGCGAAAGCGUGGGUAGCAAACAGGAUUAGAUACCCUAGUAGU